This is a non-coding RNA of Lepisosteus oculatus (spotted gar), 2642 nucleotides long. The record is from RefSeq and is a predicted model, not a curated record. NCBI's taxonomy places the organism in Eukaryota, Metazoa, Chordata, Actinopteri, Semionotiformes, Lepisosteidae.
UCCCUCGUUAUAAUUAAGAUUAGAUUACUGCUUGUUAUUUUAGGUGUUUGCUUUUUUUUUUGCUUUUUUAAAAAAAAAAUAGUUUAAAUGUACUUUUGUAAAUGACUUUAUGUGUAUUUAAGUGGGGUAUAUUAAGUCAUUUUCCCUGGGGGGGGGCUCUUCUGCAUCUCAGUAUCCAAUUGUAGUCAAUUGCAGUGAACUCGAUUUAGUCCUUGGCAGUUUAAAUUGGGUAGCAGCUAGUUCUGUGAUUACCAAGGCUAUCAAGUUAAUUGUGACUUCUUUGCAGACACCUAGCGUGCAACUCAAUAUUUCUUCAAAUCUUGCGAUCAGGCGUGACUUAUUGAUCCUCAAAAAGACAAAUUUAAGAAGCAUGUUUGCCGAUUGUAAGGACUAGGUCAAAUUAAACACUUAGGUUCACUGCCGUUGUUACUAAACCAGGGAAUUCAGUUUCUUCCACCAGUACCUGGGGUGGAAUCUUCUCUUUACUGUGUAUGUUAAAAUCGUUAAUAGUUAACAUGAUUAUUGUUAUAGUUGCUAUGGUGAGAAAUUGUUUUCAGCUUCUGAAGAUUUCUAAGAUGCGUUUACAAGUUUUAUCUGAGCCUUUUCCCUAUUUUUCAGUCAAGCCGUUAAAUAAAAUGGACUUCAGACUCGCUUACAAGAAAGUAAACCCCUUAAUGUCUCAUUGUGUUCUUGGUACACAGGUCAGCCUCUUAAUGUUGUUAAUUUCCUAUACCCAGUAAAUUGUAUGUAUGUUUUGUUUUUGGAUUUUUUUUCCAUUUAAAAUAAAACUUUUUACUCUAUAGAAGUUACUUUUAUUUGAGGAAAUAUGCUUUAUUUAAAUCAGUUAAUGAUCCAUUUUUUCUACAGUGUUUGAAUAUUUCACUUGAUUCCAAAUUGGAUGAUGGAUGCAGGCCAUGUGCGUCCUUCUGUUGUACUUGAUACAGCUGCGUACUGAGCUCUUUGCUGUUUCCAUCUAGGUCUUCCAUGUUUCAAGUGGUCUUGCCCAUUACUUGUCAUGUAUAUUACGUGCAGCUUAACUAGUUUUCACAUACACUUUAAUGGAAUUUCUUUUUUCCUUUCUACAAAGAAAAUAGUGCCCUUUAAGUACCACGAAAAACCCGGCUCCCAGGUUCUCAUGUUUAAUGUUAAACCUAACCUUCUGUGGCAAACUAAAUAUAUAAGUGUCUUUUCCCAAGUGGAGCCUAAGCCUCCUGUUUCAGUACUGUUUAGUCAACAAAAAGCUGGAUUCAUACUGUUAGCUGUGUCUUCUGCACCGUGGAAAUCUCCAAGUGUGUACUCCAGAGAGCUGUAGAAACUGAUCUCCGAAAGUCCAUAGGAAAUGCAACUCAGCCCUCAGUAACGAAGGUCUUACCGGAGUCUGGCUUAGUGUUCCUUAGUGCUCCUCAAGAUAUUUAUGCGACCAAAAGCAAGGAGAGCAGCGUUAAUAUUCAAGGUUUGUGACUUUAGGUAUGUCUAUCUUAUGCUUCAUAAUCAUCUACCCCCCCCUCCCUUCACUCAAACCAAAAUUAUACUCAUUGUUUGUGAUCAUGUUUUACUAGGUGUUGCAUUCCAUAAUUAAGUUUGAGAGCCACGAGAAAUCUAAAGUUAUUUUGUUUUUAAAAAAAACUAGGUGAUUCCUAAAAAGGUUUAAGUUAUAGUGUUUUGAAAUUUUGAUUGGGAAGAUCUUGGAAAAACACGAUGUCCUAAAAGUCAAAGCUGGGGAUAGCAGAUAGGGGAAUAGUCUUGCCACACUGUAUUUUAAAUUCCUAAUUGGCAUUUCUUUAUCAAUUGAGGCUUUGUCUUUUUGACAUCUCUAAUAUAAUUGCCCGAUACCUUGUUUUAAUAUUUGCCUGAUUGGUGAAAGCACUAAACUUUUUAGCUGUGUGCACAAUUAAUAGUGUUCUGCUGAAUGCUUACUCAUAAGGACCCUUUUAGAAAGGCUCUAGGGUUGUGAUUAUUCAGUUAUCAAGCAAGAAGUUAAUGAAAUCUAUGGGCUUGUUCUGGUAAUUUUGGUACCUGGGAUCACAGGCAUAAGUGUGAGAACCAUAAGAAAGUACUCAGAAAUUCCUUCCAGGGAUUUGUGAUGGAAGUUUUUUUUUAUGAUUUGAUCAAAUCAAAAACACAUCUUCCCUAACUGAGAAGACUUCAGGGUGUAUUGGUGUUUGACUUAGUGUGUUCUGAAUUACAGCUGCCCAGUCAUUAAAGGUAUCUUUUUUUUUUUCUUUUCCUUCCCCUCAUUCCAGAACGCAGCCUGCGUAAUGCUGGAAUUUGAAACCCUUUCCUAAAUUACCUUUCCCAAAGUACCGUCGACUGAACAGGAUCCGCAAAGAGCCUGGUCCUGAUCUUGGAAGGAGAAGGGAAGCACAUUGUAUCAGAGGCUAUCCUGGAGCUCAGCUGGCUGGCGUGAAGUUGGCGUGUGCUCUCCGUGUGCUGCCCGGAGCUGCCCCGCGUGCCCCGCCAGCUGCCCAGAGCAGCUCUCAUGCGAUGACUGUUUUACAGGUCACGCAGACUUGGCUACGAAUCCACGGACUGGAAUAUCACUGAUGGGCGCUCUUUUUAAAAAAAAAAACGAAAAGCGGUGGAAAAAAAUAUUGUGAUUUAAAAAAAUAUAUAUUUAAUAAAAGUAUUUGAGUAUCGGUGCC